AAUAUUGCGCAAUGGGCGAAAGCCUGACGCAGCGACGCCGCGUGGGGGAAGAAGGUUUUCGGAUUGUAAACCCCUUUUAGGAGGAAAGAUGGGGUGGUUUUCCACCCGGACGGUACCUCCAGAAAAAGCCACGGCUAACUUCGUGCCAGCAGCCGCGGUAAUACGAAGGUGGCGAGCGUUGUUCGGAUUUACUGGGCGUAAAGAGCACGUAGGCGGUUUAGUAAGCCCCUUGGGAAAGCUACGGGCUUAACCCGUAAAGGUCGAGGGGGACUGCUAAGCUAGAGGGCGGGAGAGGAGCGCGGAAUUUCCGGUGUAGCGGUGAAAUGCGUAGAUACACGAGGAACACCAGAGGCGUAGGCGGGCGACUGGACGAGUACUGACGCUGAGGCACGAAAGCGUGGGGAGCAAACAGGAUUAGAUACCCUGGUAGUCCACGCCGUA
RNAcentral lists this ribosomal RNA (441 nucleotides) under uncultured marine bacterium. RNAcentral's name for it is "bacterial SSU rRNA". It matches the Rfam family "Bacterial small subunit ribosomal RNA", at positions 360 to 804 of the family's 1533-position model. The record is from RNAcentral.